GCUGAUAUGGCUCAGUUGGUAGAGCAAUUGAUUCGUAAUCAAUAGGUCGCGGGUUCGAGUCCCGCUAUCAGCU
Molecule: transfer RNA, 73 nt
Filed under: Clostridium sp.
Lineage: Bacteria; Bacillati; Bacillota; Clostridia; Eubacteriales; Clostridiaceae
Also listed under: 8 other names
Description: tRNA-Thr
Rfam family: tRNA
About the family: Transfer RNA (tRNA) molecules are approximately 80 nucleotides in length. Their secondary structure includes four short double-helical elements and three loops (D, anti-codon, and T loops).
Source: RNAcentral